CCUGGUGGCUCAGAUGGUAGAGCGUCUGCCUGCAAUGCAGAAGACCCGGGUUCAAUCCCUGGGUCAGGA
Molecule: transfer RNA, 69 nt
Filed under: Bos taurus (domestic cattle)
Lineage: Eukaryota; Metazoa; Chordata; Mammalia; Artiodactyla; Bovidae
Also listed under: 1 other name
Rfam family: tRNA
About the family: Transfer RNA (tRNA) molecules are approximately 80 nucleotides in length. Their secondary structure includes four short double-helical elements and three loops (D, anti-codon, and T loops). Further hydrogen bonds mediate the characteristic L-shaped molecular structure. tRNAs have two regions of fundamental functional importance: the anti-codon, which is responsible for specific mRNA codon recognition, and the 3' end, to which the tRNAs corresponding amino acid is attached (by aminoacyl-tRNA synthetases). tRNAs cope with the degeneracy of the genetic code in two manners: having more than one tRNA (with a specific anti-codon) for a particular amino acid; and 'wobble' base-pairing, i.e. permitting non-standard base-pairing at the 3rd anti-codon position.
Source: Rfam by way of RNAcentral